CUUACAGUCACCCAGGGAUCAUGUGCAGGUGCAGAUCCUUAUUCUCUGUGGCCAGAGAUUCUACAUUUCUAACAGGCUCCCAGAUGAUUUGAGA
Molecule: microRNA precursor, 94 nt
Filed under: Marmota monax (woodchuck)
Lineage: Eukaryota; Metazoa; Chordata; Mammalia; Rodentia; Sciuridae
Source: RNAcentral